RNAcentral lists this ribosomal RNA (576 nucleotides) under uncultured eukaryote. RNAcentral describes it as "SSU rRNA". It matches the Rfam family "Eukaryotic small subunit ribosomal RNA", at positions 174 to 758 of the family's 1831-position model. The record is from RNAcentral.
UAAAAACCCCGACUUCGGAAGGGGUGUAUUUAUUAGAUACAAAACCAAUGCCCUUCGGGGCUCUUUGGUGAUUCAUGAUAACUAUACGAAUCGCACGGCCUUGCGCCGGCGAUGGUUCAUUCAAAUUUCUUCCCUAUCAACUUUCGAUGUUUGGGUAUUGGCCAAACAUGGUUGCGACGGGUAACGGAGGGUUAGGGCUCGACCCCGGAGAAGGAGCCUGAGAAACGGCUACUACAUCCAAGGAAGGCAGCAGGCGCGCAAAUUACCCAAUCCCGACUCGGGGAGGUAGUGACAAUAAAUACUGAUACAGGGCCCUUUCGGGCCUUGUAAUUGGAAUGAGUACAAUUUAAAUCCCUUAACGAGGAACAAUUGGAGGGCAAGUCUGGUGCCAGCAGCCGCGGUAAUUCCAGCUCCAAUAGCGUAUAUUAAAGUUGUUGUGGUUAAAAAGCUCGUAGUUGAACCUUGGGCCUGGCUGGCCGGUCCGCCUCACCGCGUGCACUGGUCCGGCCGGGCCUUUCCCUCUGUGGAACCCCAUACCCUUCACUGGGCGUGGCGGGGAAACAGGACAUUUACUUU